GAGUUUGAUCGUGGCUCAGAAUCAACGCUGGCGGCGUGCCUCAGACAUGCAAGUCGAACGCGAAAGGUUCCUUCGGGAACCGAGUAGAGUGGCGCACGGGGUGAGUAACACGUAGGUAAUUUGCCUUUGGGUGGGGAAUAACUCAGGGAAACUUGAGCUAAUACCGCAUAAUGCAGCGGCUCGACAUCGAGACAGUUGUUAAAGCGGGGGAUCGCAAGACCUCGCGCCUAAAGAGAAGCCUGCGGCAGAUUAGCUAGUUGGUAGGGUAAUGGCCUACCAAGGCAACGAUCUGUAACCGGCCUGAGAGGGCGGUCGGUCACACUGACACUGACAUACGGGUCAGACUCCUACGGGAGGCAGCAGUCGGGAAUUUUGGGCAAUGGGCGAAAGCCUGACCCAGCAACGCCGCGUGAAGGAUGAAAUCCCUCGGGAUGUAAACUUCGCAAGAACAGGAAGAAUAAGUAGAAGCUAAUACCUUCUAUGAUGACGGUACUGUUUGUAAGCUCCGGCUAACUCCGUGCCAGCAG
RNAcentral lists this ribosomal RNA (527 nucleotides) under uncultured bacterium. Its description in RNAcentral is "bacterial SSU rRNA". It matches the Rfam family "Bacterial small subunit ribosomal RNA", at positions 9 to 514 of the family's 1533-position model. The record is from RNAcentral.